This 449-nucleotide ribosomal RNA is filed under the name uncultured bacterium. RNAcentral describes it as "partial 16S ribosomal RNA". It matches the Rfam family "Bacterial small subunit ribosomal RNA", at positions 330 to 795 of the family's 1533-position model. The record is from RNAcentral.
UCCAGACUCCUACGGGAGGCAGCAGUGGGGGAUAUUGCACAAUGGGGGGAACCCUGAUGCAGCGACGCCGCGUGGGUGAAGGAGCGUUUCGGCGCGUAAAGCCCUCUCGGCAGGGAAGAAGGAGGACGGUACCUGACUAAGAAGCCCCGGCUAACUACGUGCCAGCAGCCGCGGUAAUACGUAGGGGGCAAGCGUUAUCCGGAUUUACUGGGUGUAAAGGGGGCGCAGACGGCAGCGCAAGCCAGGAGUGAAAGCCCGGGGCCCAACCCCGGGACUGCUCUUGGAACUGCGCGGCUGGAGUGCAGGAGGGGCAGGCGGAAUUCCUGGUGUAGCGGUGAAAUGCGUAGAUAUCAGGAGGAACACCGGUGGCGAAGGCGGCCUGCUGGACUGCGACUGACGUUGAGGCCCGAAAGCGUGGGGAGCAAACAGGAUUAGAUACCCUAGUAAAC